UGGAAGUUCUUGGCAUCGAUCGAGGAUAUGUCUCUGAUCUCAGAGUUCAAUAUGAAGUCAAACCUUAUAC
Molecule: small RNA, 70 nt
Filed under: Arabidopsis thaliana (thale cress)
Lineage: Eukaryota; Viridiplantae; Streptophyta; Magnoliopsida; Brassicales; Brassicaceae
Description: ATSL134160
Source: RNAcentral